This 842-nucleotide long non-coding RNA is filed under the name Nicotiana benthamiana. RNAcentral describes it as "long non-coding RNA (NBEN_LNC024664)". The record is from RNAcentral. Lineage: Eukaryota; Viridiplantae; Streptophyta; Magnoliopsida; Solanales; Solanaceae.
GUUUACAUCAUUCCUCUAUACCGAGGUCCUAUUAUUUAGCACUACUUAUACUCAGUAUUGGAAGCUAAUACAAAUAUAGCUAAGGAAAACUAUCAAUUUGCCUCAAUCCAAUCUUCCAUCGACUGCAUUUCUGCCUCUGGUAUGAAUAAGAAGGGCAAUCUCUCUACAGAUAUGAGUCUCUUCAUACUUUUUCAAAUCAAAUCUGAUUCUAUUCCUUUCUCUGUAGAUAAUUGCAAUUGUAUUGAUGAACACACAAGCUGUUAUUGAAUUAAGGGCCACUCUACUUUUUGCCUUAGUACAUAUCCAUUGCAAUUCAGUUUCCUAGUCACCUACUGCCCUAUGAUGUCCCAACCAUAUCCAAUGUCUAUUCCACAACCUUUUUGUGACUGAAGACACCCAAUGUCCUAUGAUGUCCCAGCCAGAGGCAAAGUCGAGUCCACAGCCUUCUUGUAACUGAACAAUCAAAGAUAAGGUGAUCAGAGGUUUCUGGCUGCUGAUGACAGAAUAUACAAUUGACAGAAACUUGAAUGCUCAUUUUCAUCAAUCUGUCUAAUGUAGGAAGUCUUUUUUGUACUGAUAACCAAUCAGUAAAUCUGUAUCUUGGCUGAGCAUUGGGUAGUAGCAUCAGGCUCCUCCAUGGAACUUUGCUGAAAAUAGGUAGCAAUGUGAGGUAUAGCUUCUGAAUAUGAAAUUGCUCCAAUGUACAGAAACUUUGUAGUCUGUUAAGAAGGUUGCCUUGGUUAAGUUGAUUCCCCAUGACAAUAGUUCUACUAUCAAGUAUUUUCCUCACAACCCAAGAGGCUGCCUUAGGUGUGAUCAUAGUUUCCAAGUCCAUUUGCUUA